UAAUUGUGAGAUCAAUUACCCUCUUUGUCGAGCAUACACAGGAUGUACCAGUCUUACCGAAAAUAUUGAUCCCCUACUCAAUGUUCCAUCGACUAGGAAUAUUUAAAAUUAGAGUUUUAAGGUUUUAGAUCUCACUUGGUAUGAUCGCAUCAUAACCCUAAAACCAUAGCCCUAAUUUAUGGGGUUCAUCAAAAUAAGAUGCAGCAUAUGAUGAACUAAAUGCCUUUAUUUAUUUAAAACAUCAGUACAUGAGUUGUCGGGAGACAAAAAUAUCCAUCUAUUUAUACAUUUUGAUUGGCUUAUAGGGCAUAUUCCUUUCAUAUUCUACGUCGCUACCAUCUUGUCUGAGAGAUCAUGGAUCGAGGUGACGUCGACCUUCAGAAGAUCGAUAGAAAGAAGAACCUGACCUAUCCAUUAACAAAAGCCCU
This 428-nucleotide long non-coding RNA is filed under the name Elaeis guineensis (African oil palm). RNAcentral describes it as "long non-coding RNA (EGUI_LNC068597)". The record is from RNAcentral. Lineage: Eukaryota; Viridiplantae; Streptophyta; Magnoliopsida; Arecales; Arecaceae.